AACGAACGCUGGCGGCAUGCCUAACACAUGCAAGUCGAACGAGACCUUCGGGUCUAGUGGCGCACGGGUGCGUAACGCGUGGGAACCUGCCCUUAGGUUCGGAAUAACUCAGAGAAAUUUGAGCUAAUACCGGAUAAUGUCUUCGGACCAAAGUUUUAUCGCCUUUGGAUGGGCCCGCGUAGGAUUAGCUUGUUGGUGGGGUAAUGGCCUACCAAGGCGACGAUCCUUAGCUGGUCUGAGAGGAUGAUCAGCCACACUGGGACUGAGACACGGCCCUGACUCCUACGGGAGGGAGCAGUGGUGAAGAUUGGACAAUGGGAAAAAGCCAGAUCCAGCAACGCCGCGUAGGUGCUGCAGGACUGAAGAUUGUAAAGCUAUUUUACUAGGGACGAUAAUGACAGAACCCGGAGAGUAAGCUCCGGCUAACUCCGUGCCAGCCACCGCGGUAA
Molecule: ribosomal RNA, 449 nt
Filed under: uncultured bacterium
Lineage: Bacteria
Description: partial 16S ribosomal RNA
Rfam family: Bacterial small subunit ribosomal RNA
Source: RNAcentral